RNAcentral lists this long non-coding RNA (215 nucleotides) under Homo sapiens (human). RNAcentral describes it as "HSALNT0091335". Lineage: Eukaryota; Metazoa; Chordata; Mammalia; Primates; Hominidae. The record is from RNAcentral.
GCAUUCCAACAGUUUGGCAAGUGAUGCGUUCACCUGAGAUUAAGUGAUUUUAGGCAGUCAGUAACAAAAUGCUGCUUUGCUGUAAUAGUAGAAAGGCAACAAAUUCUUAAAAGAAACCAAGAAGGGUAGGCUGCAAAACAUACAGCAAAAAGGAUUGGCUUGAAGGCAUUUGAUGUUUGUAAAUAAAUCCACAAUUGGAUCCAAGCUGAAGAGGU